Long non-coding RNA from Acinonyx jubatus (cheetah), 10361 nucleotides. RefSeq lists it as uncharacterized. NCBI's taxonomy places the organism in Eukaryota, Metazoa, Chordata, Mammalia, Carnivora, Felidae. The record is from RefSeq and is a predicted model, not a curated record. The transcript has 2 exons.
GAAAGGUCUCUUCGUUUUGCGCGUGCAUCGGCUCGGCUCCAAAACGAGAAGACCACGGCGCUGCCCUCACCGACCUGAGCCUCAGUGAGGGCGAUGGUGGACCCCACCCUCAGCCUAAAACCUCCACCCAUCCGGAAGCCACCUCCCACCAGGAUCUUACGUCUGGUUGGCUCUGAAGACUCGAAUCAACAGCAGGGGUGGGGUGGGGUAGAAGGCUGCGGAGCAAUGAUUGGCUCCGCUAUGAGAAGGGCGGGAUCAAGCCCUGCACUGAGUGCUGAUUGGCCACCGCAAGAUCGCCCACCCAAGCUCUUCCAGGGUACCGAGGUUUUCGGGAAUCACUUAUAGGCUACGAGCGGGUCGUCUGGCUCCGUGCUGCUAUUGGCUGCUGACUUGGCGCAGGCGCUAUGGCCCCUGCGUUGGCGUUCGCGGUUGCAGAGGCAGGGCUUUGGCUACGGGAGACCAUAGGACCCACUCACUGUUCACAGCAGCACUGAGAAAAAUUCUUCACUGGGGUUCCUGACAGCUGUAUUUCAGGCUACCUGCAGGUCCGAGUUCUGCAGAGAAGGUUCAAGGUGAUCUCAUGAUUCUACUCUAAAACAUCUCCUCCUCCCCCCAGAGAGGAUGACUUGGAGGCUCCCUGCCCCCUCUGGACCAGGCCUGAGUAAGGGUGUGUGGAGGAGUGUGUGUGUGUGUGUGUGUGUGUAGGGGAGUAGGGAGAGGGGGUGGGCCAUAAAUGCAUCAUAACUGCAUGAUUUCAUGCUCUGGGAUGGAGAAGUGUGUGGCAUUUAAAGGGGAAUUUUGAAAAGGGCAAGAUGUAACUGAAUGAUAAACUUUUUAAUGAUGGGAUUUUAGGCAUGAGGCAGGGGAGGUGUUUGGCUGAGUGUAGGUAAGUAGAAGGAAAGUGGUUCUCAAGCCAGUCAACUCAUCCUAAGGUAGCUCUUACAUGCUACAUGCAGCUUGGAAGUCUGUGUCACAGAGAUUUAGGUCUUCCAGGUGUUUGUGGGGCUCUGUCUCAGGGUGAGAAGUCUCUAAGCUGUUUGGGGAUCUUUGUAUCAGGAUGUGCAGGGGGUUUUUUUUUCUCUUAAAAUGGAAUUUCAUUGUGUUUUGUUGGCAUUUCUCUGACUACUGUUGGGGCUUAAUACUGUUUUCUGAGCUUGUUGGCAAGAUGUGUUUCUUAAGUUUUACAAAUUCCCUUUUACAUCCUUUAAUCUUUUUGAAAAAUUAUUUUAAAAUCAUUUUAGACUUAGAGAAAAUUGCACAAAUAGUGCAGAGAGUUCCUGUAUACCCUUCACCCUGCUUCCCCUAGUGUAAAGGACUUACAUAACCACAGUGCGAGCUUAAAAACAGGAAAUGAAUACUAUUGUUCAUGAACUGUUGCUCACCUGUUUUCUGUCUGUGACCACGGUGUGAAAUAUCUGUCCAUUUUGGACCCAGCGCUCUCUUGGGUUCUGUGUCCCAUGCUGUGAUGCCUCUGAAUUUGGUGUAUGUUUCUAGAUGCUGGGUCUCUCACUUCCUUGGGGGUUUCUGUCUCAGAGAAUGGUAUCUUUGAUCUGUUAGGGUCUCUUCAGGGCAUAUCCUCUCUGAGCUGUUUUGGGCUUUCGUGUUCAGGGUGUGAGGUCUCUGAGCACUCUUUUUUUUUUUUUUUUUUUUUGGAUACAGACAGCAAGUGUGAGCACAUGAGCCGGGGAAGUGCAGAGGGAGAGGGAGAGAGAAUCUCAAGCAGGCUCCAUGCUCAGCAUGGAGUCCAACAUGGGGCUCGAUCCCAUGACCCUGAGAUCAUGACCUGAGCCAAAGUCGGACGCUUAACCAACUGAGCCACCCAGGUGCCUGGUUCUCUGAGUACUUUGGUAGUCUAAGUUCAAAGCUAUGUGAAAAAAAAAAAGCUAUGUGUACUCCCAGCUGGUUUUUAUUGGUCUCUGUCAGAGAUUAUGAGGUCAGUCAAUACUUUCGGAUUCUGUGUCCAGGGCAGGAUUUCUCAACCUCAGCACUAUUGACAUUUUGGACUGGAAAAUUCUUUGUUAUGGAGGGCAUUGUGGGAUGUCGUACUAGUUUGCUAGGGCUAUUAAAAAAAAAAAGGUACCACAAACUGGGGGGCUUAAGCAACAGAAAUUUAUUUUCUCAUAGUUCUGGAAGCUGGAAGUCUGAGAUCCUGGUGUCAGCAGGUUUGUUUCCUUCUGAGGGCUGAGAACAACAAUCUGUUCAUGCCUCUCUCCUAGCUUCUGGUAGUUUGCUGGCAGUCUUUGACAUUCCUUGGCUUCCGCUGUAUCAGCCCAGUUUCUUCCUUUAUCUUCACAUGGUGUUCCGUGUGUGUGUGUGUGUGUGUGUGUGUGUGUGUCCGAAUUUCCCUUUUUUAUAAACACACCAGUCAUAUUGGAUCAGGGGCCCACCCUACUCCAGGAAUACGACCUCAUUUCACAUCUGCAGCGACCCUCUUUCCAAAUAAGGCCACAAUCUGAGGCCCUAAGGGUUAGGACUUCAACAUACGAAUUUGAGGUGUGUGGGGGGGCAUAAUUCAAUCAUAAAAGAUGUUUACCAUGAGAAAGAAAGGAAAGAGGGAGGGAAGGAGGGAGCAGUCCCCAACAUCCAAUGUUGUCUUGGUACUCCCAGCUAGGCCAUGUUAUUCUCCUGUUAGAUAUAAACAGUCUCAAGAAUACUCUGAGACCAAGGUUAUUCUGAGACCGUGAUAAAACGAGACAAAGCAAAGCUACUUUAUAAUGUUGUCUAAGCACAGACAAAAACUGGUCAUUGUGCCACCUCCCCAGAUACCAAACAUCCCCCUCUCUUGGUUAAAACGAAUGACUGCUGCUUCUUUACCGAUUUCCACUUUAUCCUUACUCUAGUCUGCCCUCGCUGUAGAUAAGAUUUAUUGAGAUACCUAGUCAUCAAAUUGCUCUCACUUUCUGACAGUGUCCAAUCUAGAGUGAGCCCCACUUCUUUCGAUCUUCUACCAAAACCACUCAACUGAAGUCCUGAUCCUAUAACUGGUUCUUUCUUUUUUUAAAAAAAUUUUUUAAUGUUUAUUUAUUUUUGAGAGACAUAGACAGAGCAUGAGUGGGGGAGGAGCAGAGAGAGGGGGAGACACAAAAUCCAAAGCAGGGUCCAGGCUUUGAGCUGUCAGCAUAGAGCCCCACAUGGGGCUCAAACCCACGAACCAUGAGAUCAUGACCUGAGCCCAAGUUGGAGGCUUAAAUGACUGUGCCACCCAGGCACCCCUGGUUCUUUGUUUAUUGUUUUUUUUAUUUUUUAAUGUUUAUUAAUUUUUGAAAGACAGAGAGAGACAGAGCACAAGCAGGGGUGGGACAGAGAGAGAGGGGGACACAGAAUCUGAAACAGGCUUCAGGCUCUGAGCUGUCAGCACAGAGCCCGACGUGGGGCUCGAACUCACAGACAAUGAGAUCAUGACCUGAGCCAAAGUCAGAUGCUCAACUGACUGAGCCACCCAGGCACCCCUCUUUGUUUUGUUUUUUUUUUAAAUACUUUUUAAUUUUUUUAGUAAGCUCUAUGCCCAACAUAGGGCUUUGAACUCAUGACCCUGAGAUGAAGAGUCGCAUGCUCUUCUGACUCAGCCAGCCAGGCACCCCUGAUUGGUUCUUUCAGAUACCCUCUUACUAAGACGUCUCUUGGCUCCCAUGGUGUGCGUUCUCCCUCACUGAAAUGCAUAAUGAACCCUACUUGUUCAAUUAUAGGUAUGUUCCCGGGGGGUCUUUGGCUAAAGGUGGCAUCCCUGAUCUCUACCCACUAGAUGCCAGUAGCAUCUCUCCCCUCCCAGCUGUGACAACCAAAAAUGUUCUCAGGUAUUACCACAUGUACUCUGGGGGGCAAAUUGCCUCUGGUGGAGAGCCACUGGUACAGGGUAUGAAGUGUUUGAGCAGUUUGGGAGUCUCUGUCUCAAGUUUGCAUUCUCUGAGAUGUGUUUGGGUCUAUUCCUCAGGAUAUGAAGUCACUCAUCUGUGUUAAAGUCUCUGUCCCAAUGUUUGAAAGCCCUGAGCUCUUUGGGGUGCUGUAUAAGGAAUGAGUGAUCUCUGCCAGAAUUAGGACAUGAGGUAUUUGUGGUGCAUGUGCGCACAUGCACACACGCACCACCCUCCCCCCCCCCACCCCACAACACCAUCCUGGCUAUACGCCAGUUCAGAAAGGCUGUGAGAAAUGGGGGUUGUGUGAUUGGUAGUGAAGUGCUCCGCAUGAAUUCACAGCCACCCCAGCUUCCUUGUCUAGACCAGGAAAUACAGGUGGCCACUUCCUUCAGAACCUCUGUCUUGCCCUUUGUUCUGGAGGUCACAGAGUCUCCCUUGAUCCCAUUUGUGGAGAUUAUGUUGUGGGAAGGUGUUUGUUGUGUCUCCUCGCACCAGCCCCAGAGUGGAGAGCCCUGUCUUGGGAUGGAUUGUUCAGAUGGAUGUUGGAGUCUAUUUCCCCUCAGGCCUUGUCCACAUCCAGGACACAUGGGUGUUUGGGGCCUGGUAGAACCUGUUUCAGAGCCUGGAACCCCCAAGUCCUGGUUGGAUAGAAGGGGAGUCCAGUGUUUUGGAGGUUUUGCAAGACUGCUCUGAGUACAAAUGGACUCUCCUGAUUUCAGCCCCUUCUCCCCUAAUUACGCAUCCCUUCUGAAAGCAAAAUUCAGGGUUGGGGAAAGGGGUGAGGUACAGGUAAAUGCUAUCUCUGGCCAGGGGGCCAGUGUGUGUGUGAGACGGUCUCAGUUGGACCAUGGGAGUCAUGUGCACAUAUUGCUUAAUAUAAAUGUGCGUUGGGUUCAAUAAAGAGUAAAUAUUCUCUAGAAUUGUGUUUCCAUCUCUGGUAAACCCAUAGUUUGCCUUCAGCUGAACCUUUGAGAACAUACAUAAUAGGGUGCGCAGUGAGAAAACAGUGAGAAAAAACACUGUUUUUCUUGUGAAAACUGUAAAUCCUGUUAUAAGAGAGACAGGUUUGUCCUUUUAUGCAAGAGACAGGGUUUGAGCUCUAGAGAGAGGCUUUGGGGGAGGGCGCAGGGCCUCGGUGAGUCAAAGAAGUCAGAAGUUAAAAAAUAUAGUUUGAACUAAAUGAAAAUGAAAAUAAAACUUACCAAGUUUGUGGGAUACAGCAAAGCAGGGCUUACAUAGAGGAAAUUUUUAAGGCAUUUGGCUUCUGUCUUGCUCUUUCUUGGAUCACGCCCUCUAGUGGAAGCCAGCCAUCCUGUCGCAAGGACACUCAAGCAGCUGCAUGGAGAGAUCUACUUACCAGAGAACUGAGGUCCCCCAGCCCAAAGCCAUCACCAAAUUGCCAGCAAUGUGAGUGAUCCAGCUUGGAAGCAGCGCUUCCGGCCCCACUCAAGCCUUCCAAUGACUGCAGCCUGAGAGACCCAAAGCCAGAGCCAUGCAGCUAAGCUGCUCCUGAAUUCCCAGCUCCCCCAAACUGUGUGAGAUGAUUAGUGUUUGCUGUUGUUUCAAGCUGCUAAGUUUUGGGUUCAUUUGUGGCGUUUCUGAGCUCUCUGAGGGUCUCUGUCUAGGGUUUGAGAUUUCUGAGCUUUUUGUGGCCUAUAUCCAUAUCUGGGUGUUGGGGACACUCCAUGUUGCACAUUUUUAGGUCUCUGAUCUCUUUAGGGUCUCUCUCAGGGUUUUUAGGCCUCUGAACUAUUUGGGGAUCUGUGUCUGAAAGCAUGGGGAUUCUGGGCUGUUUCUGGUUCAUGUCCAGGACAUGAUCAUAACUGUUUGGGAUCCUUUAAUCCCAGGGUAUGAUGUCUCUAAGAUAACUUUGUACUUGAGUCCAGAACUUGAAGUCUCUGAGCUCCUUUGCAGUCUGUGUUCUGGGUGUGAGAUCUUUGAGGUAUUUGGGAGUCUGUAUCUCUGGUUUCACAGCCGUGAACGCUUUGGAGGACUGUAUGUAGGUUUUGUUUGUUCUUUUAGGUGUAUGGAGUUUUAAGUCCCAGGAAGAGACAUCACCGAGGUGACUGGAAUCUGCAUCCAGGUGUUCAAACAGUUUGGGCCCCUGAGUCCCUAGAUAUGAAGUCCUUGCUGUGUUUGAGAGUCGAUGUCCAGAUAUUGAUAUUUCUGGUUUUGAGGGCAGGCGGAGCCUGUGUUUCAGGUUGUCAGCUCUCUGAACUAUUUCUGGGUGUGUGUCCCAGUAUGUAAAGUUCCUGAGUUGUUUAUGGGUGUGUGUCCCAAAUGUGUGGGGUCCCGGACAUGGCUGUGGCUCUGUGUUGUAGUAUAUGAGGUCUCUGUUCAUGGGUGUAUGUGGCAGCGUGUGAGGUAACUGAACUCCUUGAGUGUGUGUGCACAAGAUCAUAAGGUCUCUGAUCUGUUUGGGUGUGUGUUUCCCAGCAUGAGAAUUUUUUAUUUGUUUGCGGGUGUAUAUUCCAUGGUGUUAGUUCUCUAAUCUGUUCAGAUGUGUAUGUCCUGGGUGUGAGGUUUCUGCUAUGCUCGUGGGUAUAUGGUCUAAUGGUGUAAAGGUUUCUGAUCCACCUAGGGGUAUAUGUCCCAGGGUAUGAGGUCUCUGAUCUGUUUGUCAUUGUAUGUCUCAGGAUGUGAGGUCUCUCUUCUGGAUGCACGUCAAGGGUAGGAGGUCUCUAAUCUGUUUUUAGUUUUAUGUCCCCGGAUGUUAGAUCUCUGGUCUCUGUGGGUAUAUAUGCCAACGGGUGAGCUCUCUGUCAUGUUUGUGGGUAUAUGUCCCAAUAGAUGAGGUCUCUGAGGUCUUUGUGGAUAUAUUUUCCUGGUCGGUAUGUUUCUGAGCUUUUUUGGUUAUGUUUUGGUUAUGUUCUCUCAGGGCACUCUGGUCCAUUUGUUGGGUGUAUGUUGCAGGAUGAUAAGGAUUGUCUGUCUGAGGGUGUAUGUCCCAGGGUGUGAGGCCUGCUGUGUUUGUGGGUGUAUGUCUCUGAGUGUGAUAUAUCUAAAAUGUUUGUGAGUAUAGUUCCCAAGAUAUAAGUUCCCUGAACUCUUUGUGGGUGUGUGUCCCAGAAAAGGAAAUCUAUGAUCUAUUUGUGAGCAUAUGUUCCAGAACAUGAGGUCUCAGAGCUGUCUGUCCCUGUGUGUGUCCCAAUAUGUGAGGUCUCUCUUCAUGGGUGUAGAUCAAAGGUACGAGUUCUCUGGUACUUUUGUGUUGGUACCUCCCAGGGAAUGAGGCCUCUGAGCUGUCCGGGGUUGGGGAAUUUCACAUAAUGUGAGUUCUCAAGUAUGGUUGUGGCUAUAUGACCUAGCAUAUAGGUCUCUGAUCUCUUUGGGUGUGUAUGUUCCAUAGUUUGAAAUCUCUGAGCUCUUUAUUGAUGUAUAUUCCAGGAUGUGAGGUCUCUGAUCUUCUUGUUGUUAUAUACUGCUAGUACGCGAGUCUGCCUUCACUGGUAUAUGUCAAAAUCCAUUUGUGUGUGUAUUUCCCAGUGUAUGAGGUCCCUGAUCUGUUUCCAGGUGUAUGUUCCAGAGUAAGAAGCCUCUAAUAUGUCUCUGAUCUUUUCAUAAAUGUAUCAGGAGUUUGAGGUCCUUCAUCCCUGUGGUUGUAAUUCCCAGAGGCCUUGUCCGUGUUGUGUGUGUGGCUCUACGUCCAAGAAUAUUAUGUAUCUGUAUUGUUUCUGCAAGUAUGCCCCAGUUGUGAGGUCUCUGAUCUCUUUGUGGGUAUAUUCAUCAGAAUGGGAGAUCUCUGAUAUGUUUGUGGGUGUAUGUCCCAGAGUGUGAGGUCACUAAUGUUUGUGCAUGUAAACCCUAGGAUUUGAGGUCUGUGAUAUGCUUAUCACUAUAAUUAUCAAUGUGUGAAAUGUCUCUCAUGGGUGUAUGCCAAAGGCAUGAGCUCUCUGAUAUGUCUGUGUUUAUAUGAACGUGGGUGUAAGAUCUCUUAUUUGUUUAUGGGUGUAUGUCUCAGUGUGUGAGGUUUUGGGGGGUUAUAUCCCAUGGUCUGUUCUGUUUGGGGGUUAUUUGCUGGGAUAUGACGUGUACGUAUUUUUAUCACUGUAUAUCCCAGUAUGUGAGGUCUCUCAGAUGGGUGUAUAUAGAAAGUGUAAGGUCUUUGAUCUAUUUGUGGUUAUAUAUCCCUGGGUGUGAGAUCUCUGAUAAGUUCGUGGAUUUAAUUCUUUUUUUUUUAAGUUUUAUUUUUUAAUUUUUUAAUUUUUAAUUUUUAUUUCAUUUAUUUAUUUAUUGAGAGAGAGAGUGUAGGAGGGGCAGAAAGAGAGGGAGAGAGAGAGAAUCCCAAGCAGGCUCCUCACUGUCAGCUCAGAGCCUAAUGCUGGGCUCAAACUCACAAACCAUGAGAUCACGACCCGAGCUGAAACCAAGAGUUGGCCGCUUAGCUGACUGAGCCACCCGGGCACCCCACAUGGAUUUAAUUCUUACACUUUGACAUUGCCGAUCUGUUUGCAAGUGUUAUGUCACAUGAUGCGAUAUCUCUGAUCUUUUCGAGGGUGUAAGACCUGCAGUGUGAAGUGUCUUUCUAUCCCUCGUGUAUUUCCAAACACGUGAGGUGUCUCACCUGUGUGAGGGUGUGUGUCCCAUGAUGUGAGGCCUCUUACUUAUUUGCAGGUAUAUUCCCAAGAUGUGAGCUCUUUUCCUCCCUUUUGAGCAUAUGUCCCAAUUUGCUUCGUUUCUGAGUAUAUUUCCCGCCCUGUGAUGUCUCAGCUGUUUGGGGUGUAUACUGCAGGAUUUGAGCUCUCUGGUGUAUCAUACAUGUAUGUCUCAGGUUCUGAGGUUGCUAAUGUCUUUGUGGGUGCGUAUCCCAGAAUGGGAGUCUCUGAUCUGUUUGCGUUUGCCAAGGGUAUAAAGUCUGAUAUGGUUGUGCAUAUAUGUCUCAGGAUGUUAGGACCCUAGCUGUUUGUGGGUAUAUGUCCCAGGAUGUGAAGUGUCUGACCUGUUUGGGUGUGUUCGUCCAUGGGGGUGAGAUUUCUGAUCAGUUUUUCAGGAGCAUUACGUCCCAGGAUGUAAUGUCUCUGAUCUCAUUAUGGGUCUAAUUCCCAGGAUUUAAGGUCUCUGAUCACGUAUGGAUAUAUGUCCCGGAAUGUGUUUCUUUACUUUUUACAAGUAUAUGUCCCAGGUCGUAGGUUCUCUGAUCUGCUAGGGGGUUCUUUGCCAAGAUCUGAGGUUUCUGAUCUGUUUAUGGGUAUGUGUCAUAGAAUGCGAAGUCUUGGCUCUUUUAUGGUGUGUUUUAUGUCCAGAGUGUCAGGUUUCUGACUUCUCUGUGGUUGUGUGUCAUGGUGUGAGGUCUCUUCUCUCUUCCUGUGUGAUUCAGUAUGUGCUCUCUGGUCGUGAAUUUUGACAAGGAUGUAAGUUCUCUGAUCUGCUUAUUGAGUAUUGCAGGAUAUAAAGUCUCUGAUCUGCUUGGUGGUGAGUAUCCCAGUGUGUGAGGUGUCUGAGCUCUGUGUGUGUAUGUGUGUGUGUGUGUGUGUCCCAGGUUGUGAGGUUUCUGGUCUGUUUAGGAGUGAAUGACAGCAGGUGCCAUAUGUGAACUCUUGAUGGGUAUAUGUUCCAGGCUUUGAGGACUGUGACAUGGUAGUCGGUAUAUGUGCUGGGCGCGAGUGGACGUGAGAACCAUAAUCUGUUUCUGGAUGUACCACCCAGCGUGUGAGGCCUCUGAAUUGUUUGUAGGUUUCUGUUGCAGGAUUUGAAGUCUGUGAUUUCUUUUUUAUCUUUAAGUAAACUAUACGCCCAACGUGGAGCUCAAACUCGUGACCCUGAGAUCGAGGGUUGCAUACUCUACUGACUGAGCUGGCCAGGUGCGCCUAGUCUAUGAUUUCUUUAUGGCUAAACUUUCCAGGCUGUUAGGUCCCUGAUCUGUUUGUGGGUGUAUAUAUGAGGUGUGAGUUCCCUGACUGGUCUGUGGGUGUAUGUCCCAGGAUGUCACAUCUCUAUCAGUCUGUGCCAUGUACGUCAUGUCUGAAUACUCGCCCCCCCCCCCAAUGAUAUCCACGUCCCAAUCCCUGGAACCUGUGAUUAUGUUAACUUUCUGGCAAAAAGGACUUUGUAGGUAUAAUGAAGUGAACCACUUUGAGAUUGGGAUUUCAUCCUGGACUAUCCAGGUGGGCCUAACAUAAUGAUUAAAGUCCUUAUAUGUGGGAGGCAGGAUGGUAAGAGUUGGAAAUGGCAGUGUGACAGUGAUACAAGCUGAGUCAAAGAUGGUGACAUAAAGAUGGAAACAGACUCAGAGAAAGAGCUACAACAACUGAAUCAGAGGGAAGCAAAAUCGGAGAGAGAUUUGAAGAAUGAAACCCUGCUGGCUUUGAAGAUGGAGGAAAGGGCCAUGAACCAGGGAAUGUAGCAGCCCCUAAAACCGGAAAAUGCCAUGAAAUGGAUUCUAUGUUGGAGCCUCCAGGAGGAAGGCAGGUCUGCUGACAACUUGAUUUUAUCUCUGUAAGACUCAUUUUCGGGUUUCUGACCCGUAGAAACGUAAGGUAAUAAAUGUGUGUUAUUUUACAACACUAA